Molecule: long non-coding RNA, 461 nt
Organism: Carya illinoinensis
Lineage: Eukaryota; Viridiplantae; Streptophyta; Magnoliopsida; Fagales; Juglandaceae
Exons: 2
Source: RefSeq, a predicted model, not a curated record
UAAAACCAAACGAAGUUUUUUUUCCUUUAUGUUUUGGAGUGAAAUUUAGGUUUUGGUGCUCUGUAACCUAGUUAACAUUAAAUAAUUAUUUAAUGUGAUUUUAUUUUAUUUUUAAUUAAAUUUACCAUUGUUAUGGUAGAAUAAGGUGCUCAUGUGGAUUCUAUUUGUGGCAGUUUGUUGUUAAUUUGCAUCAGCCAGGCACUUUCGAAAUAUCAAGCAUAAGGAAAACAAAUAAAGUUUCAGGGAAAAAGAUUAUCUAGUCACAAUAGCAGUCAUCCGAUACAGAUGGUCUUCCAAUUUCAUGGCACGCUAUUGACUUCAAUGGGGCUUGUUUUCAAUAUUUUCCUGUAUCCAUUUCUGGUUCCUAGUUUGUAACUAGGUGUUUUCUUUGUAUAAUUCCUCUGAACUUGGGCUUACGCCUAUUUGCCUCACUCAAUAAAAUUUUAUUUUACCUAUCAAAA